RNAcentral lists this transfer RNA (73 nucleotides) under Chattonella marina var. ovata. Its description in RNAcentral is "tRNA-Glu". It matches the Rfam family "tRNA". From Rfam's summary of the family: Transfer RNA (tRNA) molecules are approximately 80 nucleotides in length. Their secondary structure includes four short double-helical elements and three loops (D, anti-codon, and T loops). The record is from RNAcentral. Lineage: Eukaryota; Raphidophyceae; Chattonellales; Chattonellaceae.
GUCCUUUUCGUCUAGCCGGUUAGGACACCGCCCUUUCACGGCGGCAACACGGGUUCAAAUCCCGUAAAGGAUA